GAUGAAGUACGUAGCGAAAUGCGAUAAGUAAUGCGAAUUGCAGAAUUCCAGUGAGUCAUCGAAUCUUUGAACGCACAUUGCGCCCUUUGGUAUUCCGAAGGGCAUGCCUGUUCGAGCGUCAUUAUCACCCCUCAAGCCCUCGGCUUGGUGUUGGACGGUUUGGUGGAGGCCCCCUCGGGGGCUCCUGCCCCUCCCAAAGACAAUGACGGCGGCCUCGUUGGACCCCCGGUACACUGAGUUCUUCACGGGACACGUAUCGGACACAUGGGUUUACGGGACACGGUCUGCCUCCCCUCAGGGAGAAUCUUUCUAAGGUUGACCUCGGAUCAGGUAGGGAUACCCGCUGAACUUAAGCAUAUCAAUAAGCGGAGGA
Molecule: unclassified non-coding RNA, 373 nt
Filed under: soil metagenome
Description: partial contains 5.8S ribosomal RNA, internal transcribed spacer 2, and large subunit ribosomal RNA
Rfam family: 5.8S ribosomal RNA (bases 1-121)
Source: RNAcentral